Arvicola amphibius (Eurasian water vole) is the source of this 103-nucleotide small nuclear RNA. The record is from RefSeq and is a predicted model, not a curated record. Lineage: Eukaryota; Metazoa; Chordata; Mammalia; Rodentia; Cricetidae.
GGCAGUUUAGUGGACAUAUACUAAAACUGGAACAAUACAGAGAAGAUCAGCAUGGCCCCUGCACAAGGAUGACAUGCAAAUUCAUGAGGCAUUCCAUAUUUUG